UACGGAGGAUCCGAGCGUUAUCCGGAUUUAUUGGGUUUAAAGGGUGCGCAGGCGGGAGAUUAAGUCGGCGGUGAAAUUUUGCAGCUCAACUGUAAAAGUGCCUUCGAAACUGGUUUCCUUGAGUGUGGAUGAAGUAGGCGGAAUUUGUGGUGUAGCGGUGAAAUGCUUAGAUAUCACGAGGAACUCCGAUUGCGCAGGCAGCUUACUAAACUACUACUGACGCUCAGGCACGAAGGCCUGGGGAUCAAACAGGAUUAGAUACCCUGGUAGU
This 271-nucleotide ribosomal RNA is filed under the name uncultured prokaryote. Its description in RNAcentral is "partial 16S ribosomal RNA". It matches the Rfam family "Bacterial small subunit ribosomal RNA", at positions 524 to 794 of the family's 1533-position model. The record is from RNAcentral.